RNAcentral lists this ribosomal RNA (429 nucleotides) under Chloroflexota bacterium. RNAcentral's name for it is "Chloroflexi bacterium partial 16S ribosomal RNA". It matches the Rfam family "Bacterial small subunit ribosomal RNA", at positions 355 to 776 of the family's 1533-position model. Lineage: Bacteria; Bacillati; Chloroflexota. The record is from RNAcentral.
UGGGGAAUAUUGCACAAUGGGCGCAAGCCUGAUGCAGCCAUGCCGCGUGUAUGAAGAAGGCCUUCGGGUUGUAAAGUACUUUCAGCGGGGAGGAAGGGAGUAAAGUUAAUACCUUUACUCAUUGACGUUACCCGCAGAAGAAGCACCGGCUAACUCCGUGCCAGCAGCCGCGGUAAUACGGAGGGUGCAAGCAUUAAUCGGAAUUACUGGGCGUAAAGCGCACGCAGGCGGUUGAUUGAGUCAGAUGUGAAAUCCCCGGGCUUAACCCGGGAAUUGCAUCUGAUACUGGUCAGCUAGAGUCUUGUAGAGGGGGGUAGAAUUCCAUGUGUAGCGGUGAAAUGCGUAGAGAUGUGGAGGAAUACCGGUGGCGAAGGCGGCCCCCUGGACAAAGACUGACGCUCAGGUGCGAAAGCGUGGGGAGCAAACAGG